UGGUGACAUUGUGGGCUCACGGCACCCAUU
RNAcentral lists this non-coding RNA (30 nucleotides) under Homo sapiens (human). The record is from RNAcentral. Lineage: Eukaryota; Metazoa; Chordata; Mammalia; Primates; Hominidae.